This 482-nucleotide ribosomal RNA is filed under the name uncultured bacterium. RNAcentral's name for it is "partial 16S ribosomal RNA". It matches the Rfam family "Bacterial small subunit ribosomal RNA", at positions 30 to 507 of the family's 1533-position model. The record is from RNAcentral.
AUUGAACGCUGGCAGCAUGCUUUACACAUGCAAGUCGAACGGUAACAGGCCGCAAGGUGCUGACGAGUGGCGAACGGGUGAGUAAUGCAUCGGAACGUGCCCAGUCGUGGGGGAUAACUACUCGAAAGAGUAGCUAAUACCGCAUACGAUCUAUGGAUGAAAGCGGGGGACCGUAAGGCCUCGCGCGAUUGGAGCGGCCGAUGUCAGAUUAGGUAGUUGGUGGGGUAAAGGCUCACCAAGCCAACGAUCUGUAGCUGGUCUGAGAGGACGACCAGCCACACUGGGACUGAGACACGGCCCAGACUCCUACGGGAGGCAGCAGUGGGGAAUGUUGGACAAUGGGCGCAAGCCUGAUCCAGCAAUGCCGCGUGCAGGAAGAAGGCCUUCGGGUUGUAAACUGCUUUUGUACGGAACGAAACGGCUCUGGUUAAUACCCGGGGCUAAUGACGGUACCGGAAGAAUAAGCACCGGCUAACUACGUG